CGAAAUGCGAUAAGUAGUGUGAAUUGCAGAAUUCAGUGAAUCAUCGAAUCUUUGAACGCACAUUGCGCCCUUUGGUAUUCCUUAGGGCAUGCCUGUUCGAGCGUCAUCUAAACCUUCAAGCCCUGCUUGGUGUUGGGUGCCUGUCCCGCCUCCGCGCGCGGACUCACCUCAAAUCCAUUGGCGGCCCCCGCGUCGGCCACGAGCGCAGCAGAAACGCGAACUCGUGAGCCCGUCCGGGCGGCUCCCAGAAGCUACACCCACCCAGUUUGACCUCGGAUCAGGUAGGGAUACCCGCUGAACUUAAGC
This 306-nucleotide unclassified non-coding RNA is filed under the name plant metagenome. RNAcentral describes it as "partial contains 5.8S ribosomal RNA, internal transcribed spacer 2, and large subunit ribosomal RNA". The stretch from base 1 to 106 matches the Rfam family "5.8S ribosomal RNA", at positions 49 to 154 of the family's 154-position model. The record is from RNAcentral.